This 1133-nucleotide long non-coding RNA is filed under the name Heterocephalus glaber (naked mole-rat). Its description in RNAcentral is "lncRNA (ENSHGLG00100038129.1)". The record is from RNAcentral. Lineage: Eukaryota; Metazoa; Chordata; Mammalia; Rodentia; Bathyergidae.
CCCAGAGUUCUGACUGCGGAGACCGGAACAAACCAACUGCUCCCGGACCUGAGCCUCUACCCGGGGUUCAGAGCGGGGUGAGCCCGAGCUCCUCAGCUGCGGGCUGCGUCUGGUGGUGACGCUCGUUUUAGUCCCUGUGCCGCCGCCUACGGCUUUUUACCUCUCCCGUCGGCGCCUCUGCCCGCACCGAGCACUCAUCUCAGUCAGUUUGGGAAACCCACAGCUAACUUCAGCCCAAACGAGCCCCAAACCAGCGUCACUGCAGAGCUGCAUGGAAAGGGGGAGGGACCCGGUGCCGAGACCGAAGACCCUGAGAGGCAGCAGGAAGAAGGCGGCGUUAAAGGACAUCGGGGGUCACUCGUGCUCUGCAAGCCUGCCCUGUGCACUGCGUGGUGACAGAGCUGCUUUGCCACGUGGAGACCAAGCACCCGUGUUGAAACACAGGCUUUCUUUUCAGAAGAAAAACGAACCGCGAACACAAGGAACAGAAGCAGUUCCUGGAGGCGACCCCGUCCUCAAACGCGCCGGCUCCGGGAGCGCCCUGCUCGGUGGCCACCGCGCUGCGAAGCUGAGGAGCCUGGGGUCGGGGAGUCGGUCCUGCCUGCCGAGGACGCGCCCCACGCACCCUCAGGACAGGAGAGAGGCCUGUGCCGGCCACCACCCCUGGGAAGCCACUCCGGAAGAGGAACAGCUGGAACCUCCUGAAGUGUACAUACAUGGUGCUCACCUUCCUGUUUGUGUCCUACAACAAAGGGGACUGGCAUCAGGAAUCACGCGCCACUCCACUUCAUCCUGGCAACAAUCCUAUGGGGGUUCUGUGAUGCUGCUUCAGCACAGGUGAAGCUACAUUGGCCCAGGGGGAUCAGAGCCAAGAUCCAGCCCAGGUAUGCCUUGUCCUGAAGUCCCUACUCUUCCUUAUAAAGAUUUGGGGGUACCACUGAGAAAAUGAAUAUGGCUCUGAAGGCUUUUACUUAAGCAUAUUUUAUGAGCGAGUAUGUGGUCUAUUUUGGACAACAUUCCACGUGCACCUAAGAAGAAUGUAUUCUGAUGUUGUGGGGUAGAACUCUCUGUAGAUAUUUACUAAGUCCAUUUGUUCAAAAGUUUGGUUCAGCUCUGAUAUUUUUUGUCUAGUU